Molecule: RNA transcript, 1534 nt
Organism: Acanthochromis polyacanthus (spiny chromis)
Lineage: Eukaryota; Metazoa; Chordata; Actinopteri; Pomacentridae
Gene name: coiled-coil domain-containing protein 38-like
Exons: 6
Source: RefSeq, a predicted model, not a curated record
GAUAAAUCAUAAAUUGUAACAAAGCACAUAAGGCACCAUGGGAUAAACUGCACACAGAAAAACUUACAUACCUGAAAGACACAAAACAUUCCUACCCUCUCUCUGUCUGAAGGAAAGAGUUGGAAGAGAGGCUACCGUCGCUGGUACGUAACAUGAAGGACAGAAUUGUCAAAGAGCAGGAGAGAGCGGUCAUGCUUGGAAAGCAGGUUCAGCUCCAUGAGUCAGUAAAAUACAGGACAGGGUAAGGAAACACAAUGUCCUGGCUGCAAUUUUUUAUGUCACUUAUUUCAAAUCAACAAGUCACACUUAGGGAUUCAAUCUAGACACAUUUAGUAAUAACACCCAUAAAUCCAGCAUGUUCAUUUUGAUCCCAGCUCUCCUGCUGUUUGUUGUUUUUUUUCCCCCCACCUCUUUUAACAAUAUUCUUACUUCCAGGAUAUUAUGUUGGAUGCUGUGGAUAAGAAGGUGACAGAAGUGCUUUCGUGCUUCGUGGAUUGCCGGAUGCCAUACCUCAACAUCACCAAGAAGCUGUGUAAUGUAGAGUACCGUAUGUCUUUAAUGCUCCAGCAAAUCGAGAGCAUCCCUGAAGACAGGUUUAAGAUACUGAAGCAUAUCCAGGAAACACAAUGGAGGAACAGGCUGCGUGAGGAAAAGCUGCUGCUGGAGAUUGCGAAACGGCAAGAAAAGUUGGUGAAGUACAUGAGAAGAUCUAUGGCUGAAGCCAAGAAAAUUACUGGGAGAAAGCUCAUGCCCAGAUGCUUCCCUGUCAAGCAGAAUAUUCAAGUCCUUGAGGAGGCUCCUGUCUCUCCUGUGGAGGACCUCAAUUCCUACCUCUUCUCUGAGGACUCAGAUUAAAACUCAGUUGCAGUACAGUGGAUGAUGCCUAAAUAAUGGAGAAACAAGAACGAGGACUGACAGAUCCACAUUUAGUGGUUGAGCUGAGUGAACAUUAAGCUGGUUCCACAAUUUGGCACUGAAGGACCGCAAAGGAUGAGAUCACGAUGGGAGUUUCCAUCCAUCCAUUUUCCUCCGCUUAUCCGGGGCCGGGUCGCGGGGGCAGCAGGCGAAGCAGGUCUUUCCAGACGUCCCUCCCUCCAGCGACGCUUUCCAGCUCUUCCUGGGGGAUCCCGAGGCAUUCCCAGGCCAGACGAGAUAUAUACCAGCGAGUUCUGGGUCUGCCCCGGGGUCUCCUCCCAGACGGACGUGCUCGGAAAACCUCCAGAGGAAGUCUCCCUGGAGGUAUCCGAAUCAGGUGGCCAAACCACCUCAACUGGCUCCUUUCGAUGCGAAGGAGCAGCGGCUCUACUAGUUUGAUUCUUCUUAAAAUUUUAGUUUUGCUCUUUUCUCACCUUUUAUUCUUUUCUAAUGUCUGAUUUGAUUUUGAAAUGUUUUGUCUUUUUAAUGUUUGUUUUUUCAAAUGUUUUAUUGGCUUGUUUGAAAAAUGUCCUUUUCUUUCCCAAUGUUUAAUUUUUCGAUUAAAUCUUAAAGGUUUUUCUUUUUCAGUGUUUUAUCACCUUUUAAUAUUUAAUUUGCU